UACGUAGGGUGCAAGCGUUAAUCGGAAUUACUGGGCGUAAAGCGUGCGCAGGCGGUUCGCUAAGACAGAUGUGAAAUCCCCGGGCUUAACCUGGGAAUGGCAUUGGUGACUGCACGGCUAGAGUGUGUCAGAGGGGGGUAGAAUUCCACGUGUAGCAGUGAAAUGCGUAGAGAUGUGGAGGAAUACCGAUGGCGAAGGCAGCCCCCUGGGAUAACACUGACGCUCAUGCACGAAAGCGUGGGGAGCAAACAGG
Molecule: ribosomal RNA, 253 nt
Filed under: uncultured bacterium
Lineage: Bacteria
Description: partial 16S ribosomal RNA
Rfam family: Bacterial small subunit ribosomal RNA
Source: RNAcentral